ACUUGUUUAUUCCUGCC
This 17-nucleotide ribosomal RNA is filed under the name Bromus danthoniae. RNAcentral describes it as "partial 18S ribosomal RNA". Lineage: Eukaryota; Viridiplantae; Streptophyta; Magnoliopsida; Poales; Poaceae. The record is from RNAcentral.